RNAcentral lists this ribosomal RNA (140 nucleotides) under filamentous photosynthetic bacterium Fl98-6. RNAcentral describes it as "partial 16S rRNA". It matches the Rfam family "Bacterial small subunit ribosomal RNA", at positions 1399 to 1533 of the family's 1533-position model. The record is from RNAcentral.
ACACCAUGGGAGUUGGGUUCACCCGAAGGCCGUGCGCCAACCUUUCGAGGGGGCAGCGGACCACGGUGAGCUCAGCGACUGGGGUGAAGUCGUAACAAGGUAGCCGUAGGGGAACCUGCGGCUGGAUCACCUCCUUUCUA